UGAAAACGGGAGUGAUGAGCGG
Molecule: non-coding RNA, 22 nt
Filed under: Drosophila melanogaster (fruit fly)
Lineage: Eukaryota; Metazoa; Arthropoda; Insecta; Diptera; Drosophilidae
Source: RNAcentral